RNAcentral lists this ribosomal RNA (1413 nucleotides) under Chryseobacterium balustinum. Its description in RNAcentral is "bacterial SSU rRNA". It matches the Rfam family "Bacterial small subunit ribosomal RNA". Lineage: Bacteria; Pseudomonadati; Bacteroidota; Flavobacteriia; Flavobacteriales; Weeksellaceae. The record is from RNAcentral.
CCUUCCGGGAAGCUAAACAUGCAGCCGAGCGGUAGAGAUUCUUCGGAAUCUUGAGAGCGGCGUACGGGUGCGGAACACGUGUGCAACCUACCUUUAUCAGGGGGAUAGCCUUUCGAAAGGAAGAUUAAUACCCCAUAAUAUAUUGAAUGGCAUCAUUUAAUAUUGAAAACUCCGGUGGAUAGAGAUGGGCACGCGCAAGAUUAGAUAGUUGGUAGGGUAACGGCCUACCAAGUCAAUGAUCUUUAGGGGGCCUGAGAGGGUGAUCCCCCACACUGGUACUGAGACACGGACCAGACUCCUACGGGAGGCAGCAGUGAGGAAUAUUGGACAAUGGGUGAGAGCCUGAUCCAGCCAUCCCGCGUGAAGGACGACGGCCCUAUGGGUUGUAAACUUCUUUUGUAUAGGGAUAAACCUACUCUCGUGAGAGUAGCUGAAGGUACUAUACGAAUAAGCACCGGCUAACUCCGUGCCAGCAGCCGCGGUAAUACGGAGGGUGCAAGCGUUAUCCGGAUUUAUUGGGUUUAAAGGGUCCGUAGGCGGAUCUGUAAGUCAGUGGUGAAAUCUCAUAGCUUAACUAUGAAACUGCCAUUGAUACUGCAGGUCUUGAGUAAAGUAGAAGUGGCUGGAAUAAGUAGUGUAGCGGUGAAAUGCAUAGAUAUUACUUAGAACACCAAUUGCGAAGGCAGGUCACUAUGUUUUAACUGACGCUGAUGGACGAAAGCGUGGGGAGCGAACAGGAUUAGAUACCCUGGUAGUCCACGCCGUAAACGAUGCUAACUCGUUUUUGGGUUUUCGGAUUCAGAGACUAAGCGAAAGUGAUAAGUUAGCCACCUGGGGAGUACGUUCGCAAGAAUGAAACUCAAAGGAAUUGACGGGGGCCCGCACAAGCGGUGGAUUAUGUGGUUUAAUUCGAUGAUACGCGAGGAACCUUACCAAGGCUUAAAUGGGAAUUGACAGGUUUAGAAAUAGACUUUUCUUCGGACAAUUUUCAAGGUGCUGCAUGGUUGUCGUCAGCUCGUGCCGUGAGGUGUUAGGUUAAGUCCUGCAACGAGCGCAACCCCUGUCACUAGUUGCCAUCAUUCAGUUGGGGACUCUAGUGAGACUGCCUACGCAAGUAGAGAGGAAGGUGGGGAUGACGUCAAAUCAUCACGGCCCUUACGCCUUGGGCCACACACGUAAUACAAUGGCCAGUACAGAGGGCAGCUACCAGGCGACUGGAUGCGAAUCUCGAAAGCUGGUCUCAGUUCGGAUUGGAGUCUGCAACUCGACUCUAUGAAGCUGGAAUCGCUAGUAAUCGCAUAUCAGCCAUGAUGCGGUGAAUACGUUCCCGGGCCUUGUACACUCCGCCCGUCAAGCCAUGGAAGUUUGGGGUACCUGAAGUCGGUGACCGUAACAGGAGCUGCCUAGGGUAAA